UAUAAUCUAACAUCCUAGCAUACUUGUCCACAAUCAUGGCCUUAUCAUGGAUACACAACCUCAAUUACGAUAUUUAUAUUACAUGUCCCAUUCAAAGUUGGUACACAACUUGGGUAACCCCUGAUUUAUUUUCCCACGUAAAAAAUGGUUAAAAAUUAACAGAACAAAUUGCAGCUCCGUGGGAGACAUGAACAAAAGCAUUGGUCAACCACCUAUCUGAAGAUUGUUAAGGAUAGCUAAUUAGGUUUCUAAUUCUACACCAAACAGAGGAUUAUUGUUGAUUCAUUACUCAAUAAUAUAUCAAUAUCACUUUCUUCCCAAUGGAUUGGAUUCUUCUGCAUUUGAGUGCUUAUUUCUACUCCCAUUUUCAAUUUCAACAAUUCCAAAUCCAUUCUGUGUUAAAUUGUGACUCAAAUUAGGAGUCUUUGGAAGUGGCAGACAAAAGAAAAGGGAAUCAAAGUUGUAUUUUGCAAAUUAAGGAAAGAAAAUCUUAUUGGAGCCAUGUGGAAUUAUGAAAGAAUCAAAUUGGAAUCAAUUCCAAAGAAAUAGGGAAAGUGGCGUGUUCCCUAUUCACGUGUCUCAACGGAUUUUUUUUCUCUUUUUUCUUUGUUUACAUGUUUCCUUUUUUCUUAAUUUCCAUCUUUUGCCAAUUUCUAGGACUAGACUCGUGUACUAUAAAUAUAGGACUCUCCUUUCAAUAUUGUUGAAGUCAAUUGCUGUAAUUCUCUCCUUUCAUAGUGAUUGAAUAAAAUAACAUCGUUCCUCUGCCAGUUUCCUUUUAUUUUGCAUCUUUUACUUUAAUCUUGUUCUUGGUUAUUUUGUGAUCUUUAUUUAUACUUCAUAUUGGGUUCAUCAAAUCUCAAUUCUUGCGUUGUCUUCAUUGGUCCCAACAAGUGAUAUUAGAGCAAGGUCGCAAGUUCUUCGUGAUUCAAUUUAGGCUUUUGAGAGAUGACUUCGAUGAAGUAUGAUAUUCCGCUGCUAGAUCGCAAUACAAGGUUUUCGCUAUGGCAAGUAAAGAUGAGGGCUGUGUUAACGCAGAUAGAACUUGAUGAUGUUUUGCUGGGUUUUGAGAAGAUGCCAACAAAUUGGUCUAUGGAGGAGAAGCAACGGAAGGAUAGGAAGGCUACAUCAUUGAUUCAUCUUCAUUUGUCCAACAAUAUACCGCAGGAUGUCUUGAAGGAAAAGACAGUGGUUGCUUUGUGACUCAAGCUAGAGCAAUUGUGCAUGACAAAGAGUCUAACGAGCAAACUGACUCUAAAACUGAAGUUGUAUUCUCAUCGCAUGGUGGAAGGAGGGUCACUACAGGACCAUCUUGCUAUGUUCAAGGAAAUCGUUGCAGAUCUGAAGACGUUGGAAGUAAAGUAUGAUGAAGAGGGUCUGGCCUUGAUCCUAUUGUGUUCAUUACCUGGCUCUUAUUCGUCGUUUCGUGAUACUAUAUUAUAUAGUCAUGACACGCUAACCAUUGAGGAUGUAUACAACGCCCUGUUCUCAAAGGAGAAGAUGUAGUUGUUGGUUGGAGAUCCUACAUCUAGAGGUAUGGAUGCUCUGGUUACUCAUGGUGGACGACAGAGCAGUACGUCAAAGGUGAAAUUCAGCAAUUUGUUUUGCUUCUACUACAAGUGGAAAGGACACUUGAAGAAAGAUUGUGACAAGUUGCAGCGUAAAGGUAAUUUACAUGCAAAUCAUUCGGGGCAAUCUUGUAAUUUGGACGAAACCAAUGUAGUUGAAAACUUUUCUGAUGAUGGAGAUGUGAUGUUGGCUAUAUCUGAUGAGGAAUCCAAAUCUAGAGAAGUGGAUUCUGGAUUCUGCAUGUUUGUAUCAUAUGUGUCCUAAUAGGCCGUUAUUCCAGACAUAUGAAACGGUGAAACAAGGUGGAGUUGUCAUGGAAAACAUCCAAUCUUGCCGGGUUGUAGGAAUCAGUCGGGUCAGAUUGAGGCUACAAAAUGGGACAUUAAAGACACUUGAUCAGGUUCGCCAUGUUCCAAACUUGACAAAAAAUCUCAUAUCGCUGAGUACCCUGGAUGCAAAAGGGUAUAAAUUUUCUGGUGGAGGUGGAGUCCUGAAGGUUCAGAAAGGUGUUCGAGUUGUACUGGAGGGACGGAUGAGAUCCUAGUUGUACAUUUUGUAGGGAAGCGCAGAACCAGUUCAGAGACAUUUGAACAAGUUUAGUACUGUGGUGGAAAUUCAGUUUGGUACAUUACUUCUUGUGUUAAGCUCUGGGUCAAUUUCGAACUUUGCUAGUGGGAGUGUUGGUGAUUCUGCUUUACCACCAAUUUCAGCAGAUACACUUUGUUCUUGUGCUAGUGGACUCAUGGAGUGUAGGUUUAGUGGUGUCAAUAAUGUCUGUAAUGCCUUAGGGAUCAUUGAAGGUGACACUUCUAGCAAGGGGCCUUCUGAUCGUGCAUUUGGUGUGGUUUCUGCUACAGGGUGUGUUUCGACCCUGUCUAGUGAUUAUUAAUUCCAGGUGAAAUUUUGGGAACCCGAGUUUGGGUUCGGGAGUCGCUUGUGGACGCCGGGCGGGGAAACAUGUUUUCGUGGAGAGUUUGGUUACUGUGUCGAGGAGCUUGGUUAUUCUGAUGCAGACGGAUCAUUUUUCCAGGUGGAGAAAUUUGGAGCUUCAUUCAUUGCACCAGAAUUUGAAUCAAGGUGGAAAUUGUUAAAUUGUGACUCAAAUUAGGAGUCUUUGGAAGUGGCAGAGAAAAGGAAAGGGAAUCAAAGUUGUAUUUUGCAAAUUAAGGAAAGAAAAUCUUAUUGGAGCCAUGUGGAAAUAUGAAAGAAUCAAAUUGGAAUCAAUUCCAAAGAAAUAGGGAAAGUGGCGUGUUCCCUUUUCACGUGUCUAUGCAGAUUUUUUUCUCUUUUUUCUUUGUUUACACGUUUCUUUUUUUCUUAAUUUCCAUCUUUUGCCAAUUCCUAGGACUAGACUCAUGUAGUAUAAAUAUAGGACUCCUCUUCAAUAUUGUUGAAGCCAAUUGCUGUAAUUAUCUCCUUUCAUAGUGAUUGAAUAAAAUAAUAUCGUUCCUCUGCCAGUACCCUUUUAUUUUGCAUCUUUUACUUUAAUCUUGUUCUUGGUUAUUUUGUGAUCUUUAUUUAUACUUCAUAUUGGGUUCAUCAAAUCUCAAUUCUUGCGUUGUCUUCAUCGGUCCCAACA
RNAcentral lists this long non-coding RNA (3148 nucleotides) under Olea europaea (common olive). RNAcentral's name for it is "long non-coding RNA (OEUR_LNC005755)". The record is from RNAcentral. Lineage: Eukaryota; Viridiplantae; Streptophyta; Magnoliopsida; Lamiales; Oleaceae.